UGCUCAUUUGGCGACCACAUACUUCUGACUUUUUCUUAGUUUCCUGUUGCCGUCACCAUCCCUGAUGACGGGAGGCACGCCGCAACGCGUGGCAUCCUCAUGGCCCCGGGCCGCCCCCCUUAUCCCCCUAUCCCUCCUGCCAGUGCCGAGCCGCCUCGGGUGGUGACAGGGGCACCUACGGCGUGGGAAAGUCAGAGCGAUGCAUGGCUGCUGAUGCCGGUGCUCAGGUCGUAGAUGGCGUUGCGUCGGGCGACGGGGCCUGUGACGUGCCCGGAUGAUGUGGAUUGUAACUCGUGCCAAACUGCAAAGUGCACAAGUUGAAGAGCGAGAUUGCCGUGACAGCAGUUGACGCAUCGAUCGGCAUACGCAAGCACUCAGGUACAGUUCUAUUGCUCAUUUUUCGCCAAAGGCGCCACUGACACGCGUGUUCCUCCGCGGUGCUGCAGAAGAGGGUGGGAGCCGAGUGCGCUCACACGGAUCAACUGGACGUUUGCGCAUUCGCAAGGGCGAACACCACUGCAGCACCAGAGGAAGAGGGGCGAAAGCGGUGAGGACACGCGGUUUUGCGGGCACCUGCACAUAUAUGUCUUCUUCAGCCUGUCCUUCUACCACGAACACACCAGCAAAAGCACGCGCAUGCACAGCCACAGCCCACGCACCCACUGCUGCGCUGCGGCGACGUCCUGGUCGUCUAGGAGCAACCGUCAUGCCGUCGAAUCGGGACAUGCGUCUAGCGGGCCCCUCCUCUCCCGCCUCGUCCCCUCUUCGGAUACGUGCCGCGCGGUCGGCGCCUCAUCCGCCCGCACGGUGGGAUGGAGGAGAUGCCGCAUGCUGCGCGCGCAUGCGCUGUGGGCAUAAUCGGCAUGUACUACGGGGCUCCUCUCUCGCUCAUCACUCGCGCUCCCUCCCUCUCUUGCUGCACCGAGAAG
This 929-nucleotide unclassified non-coding RNA is filed under the name Leishmania donovani. RNAcentral describes it as "gene:unknown". The record is from RNAcentral. Lineage: Eukaryota; Euglenozoa; Kinetoplastea; Trypanosomatida; Trypanosomatidae.